Molecule: ribosomal RNA, 255 nt
Filed under: uncultured bacterium
Lineage: Bacteria
Description: partial 16S ribosomal RNA
Rfam family: Bacterial small subunit ribosomal RNA
Source: RNAcentral
UACGAAGGGGGCUAGCGUUGUUCGGAAUCACUGGGCGUAAAGGGCGUGUAGGCGGUCAAGUAAGUGGAAUGUGAAAUGCCCCGGCUCACCCGGGGACCUGCAUCCCAAACUGCUUGGCUUGAGUAUGGGAGAGGAUGAGGGAAUUCCUGGUGUAGCGGUGAAAUGCGUAGAUAGUCAGGAGGAACACCGGUGGCGAAAGCGGCUCACUGGACCACAACUGACGCUGGAUGCGCGAAAGCUAGGGGAGCAAACAGG